UCAUUACUGUAAAAAGGGUUGAUGCUGGUAGUUUAUCUACAUGUGCUCACUCUUCUGAUUUAUUUACACCUGUGCACUUAAUUUUUUUUCAAGGGUACUCGCCUUUGGAGCUUAAUAGCCCCUAACCCCUAUAUUGAAGUAAUGGAUGUUUAUCUGCCACAAGGCAAAAUUUUUAAUACAACUUUUAACAACGGAUCUCUUGGCUCUCGCAUCGAUGAAGAACGCAGCGAAAUGCGAUAAGUAAUGUGAAUUGCAGAAUUCAGUGAAUCAUCGAAUCUUUGAACGCACCUUGCGCUCUCUGGUAUUCCGGGGAGCACACCUGUUCGAGUGUUAUUAAGACUAUCAAACAAAGGUGUCUAUCUCUGUUUGGAUUUGGGCUUUGCUGCAUUAAUGUGGCUAGUCUUAAAUAUAUUAGCUGGUCCUUGUUGAGGGUUUUGGUUCUACUCAGCGUGAUAAUUAUCUAACGUUGAGGACAGUUUCAGACCUGGCCAUAGUGAAAACUGGCCAUAGCUCUCUCUGGAUUGCUUCUAAAUUGUCUUGAGGACAAUUGCUUAAUUUCUGACCUCGAAUCAGGUGGGACUACC
RNAcentral lists this ribosomal RNA (584 nucleotides) under uncultured Hydnum. Its description in RNAcentral is "eukaryotic LSU rRNA". The stretch from base 180 to 333 matches the Rfam family "5.8S ribosomal RNA". Lineage: Eukaryota; Fungi; Basidiomycota; Agaricomycetes; Cantharellales; Hydnaceae. The record is from RNAcentral.